RNAcentral lists this small nuclear RNA (22 nucleotides) under Arabidopsis thaliana (thale cress). Its description in RNAcentral is "snRNA_15880". Lineage: Eukaryota; Viridiplantae; Streptophyta; Magnoliopsida; Brassicales; Brassicaceae. The record is from RNAcentral.
ACCAGGAGGUUCUGGGUCGAAG